CCUACGGGGGGCAGCAGUGAGGAAUAUUGGUCAAUGGACGAGAGUCUGAACCAGCCAAGUAGCGUGAAGGAUGACUGCCCUAUGGGUUGUAAACUUCUUUUAUAUGGGAAUAAAAUGUUCCACGUGUGGGAUUUUGUAUGUACCAUAUGAAUAAGGAUCGGCUAACUCCGUGCCAGCAGCCGCGGUAAUACGGAGGAUCCGAGCGUUAUCCGGAUUUAUUGGGUUUAAAGUGAGCGUAGGUGGAUUGUUAAGUCAGUUGUGAAAGUUUGCGGCUCAACCGUAGAAUUGCAGUUGAAACUGGCAGUCUUGAGUACAGUAGAGGUGGGCGGAAUGCGUGGUGUAGCGGUGAAAUGCUUAGAUAUCACGAAGAACUCCGAUUGCGAAGGCAGUUCACUGGACUGCAACUGACACUGAGGCUCGAAAGUGUGGGUAUCAAACAGGAUUAGAUACCCGAGUAGUC
This 460-nucleotide ribosomal RNA is filed under the name uncultured bacterium. RNAcentral's name for it is "partial 16S ribosomal RNA". It matches the Rfam family "Bacterial small subunit ribosomal RNA", at positions 338 to 795 of the family's 1533-position model. The record is from RNAcentral.